Molecule: ribosomal RNA, 662 nt
Filed under: Pantoea sp.
Lineage: Bacteria; Pseudomonadati; Pseudomonadota; Gammaproteobacteria; Enterobacterales; Erwiniaceae
Description: bacterial SSU rRNA
Rfam family: Bacterial small subunit ribosomal RNA
Source: RNAcentral
UUCCUUGAGGAGUGGCUUCCGGAGCUAACGCGUUAAGUCGACCGCCUGGGGAGUACGGCCGCAAGGUUAAAACUCAAAUGAAUUGACGGGGGCCCGCACAAGCGGUGGAGCAUGUGGUUUAAUUCGAUGCAACGCGAAGAACCUUACCUACUCUUGACAUCCAGCGAACUUAGCAGAGAUGCUUUGGUGCCUUCGGGAACGCUGAGACAGGUGCUGCAUGGCUGUCGUCAGCUCGUGUUGUGAAAUGUUGGGUUAAGUCCCGCAACGAGCGCAACCCUUAUCCUUUGUUGCCAGCGAUUCGGUCGGGAACUCAAAGGAGACUGCCGGUGAUAAACCGGAGGAAGGUGGGGAUGACGUCAAGUCAUCAUGGCCCUUACGAGUAGGGCUACACACGUGCUACAAUGGCGCAUACAAAGAGAAGCGACCUCGCGAGAGCAAGCGGACCUCACAAAGUGCGUCGUAGUCCGGAUCGGAGUCUGCAACUCGACUCCGUGAAGUCGGAAUCGCUAGUAAUCGUGGAUCAGAAUGCCACGGUGAAUACGUUCCCGGGCCUUGUACACACCGCCCGUCACACCAUGGGAGUGGGUUGCAAAAGAAGUAGGUAGCUUAACCUUCGGGAGGGCGCUUACCACUUUGUGAUUCAUGACUGGGGUGAAGUCGUA